AGAGCAGCGCGCGGGGCAGACCUCCUCGGGUCCUCCGGCGCUUCGGUCUCCGGAGACGCCCGGCCUCCUGAAGGGUUCGGCUUGUCCUCCUCUGGCGCUCAGCUCCCUCUGGCGGCCGGGCUGGCAGGACCUCAGCGCCCAGCCCUUCCGUCUUGUUACGUCCAGGGUCUCACUCUGUGUCUCAGGCUGGAGUACAGUGGUGCAAUUGUAGAUGGCUGCAGCCCUCGACCUCCUGGGCUCAAGUGAUCCUCCUGCCUUAGCCUCUCGAGUAGCUGGGAGUACAGAUGCACACCACCACACCCAGCCUAGAAUGAAGAAACCUGCAGUUGGGAAGCAUGAAUUUACCACCUAUUAAGAAUUGUGGCUUGCAUUGUAAGAGGAGCCUGUGAAUUCAGAGGCAAGUCUGCUGAGGACCGAAUGUUCCUGUCCAUAAAAACAGAAGUCUGGCCUGGGCUCCUCUCUUGGGUGAAUUUGCAAUGCCAGAUCCUCUCUAUCAGUUUGGUUUUGUUUCUUGUAUCUCUGGGAAGGCAGGCAGACAGCACGGUCACCUGUGAAUGCAGCUACAAUUGGCUUAGCUGCCUCACUGAUAAAUGUGCCCCCAGUAAGCUACAAAGGGAUUACCAGCGUUCUCAGCAGCUAAAGGAACUGGUGAAGAUUUCCCCAGCAAAAAGUAGAAGCUCAGUGUUUCAUAGAUGAAGACUGGGGAGAUUGCAAAAGACCCAUCCAGCCUACUUCAUGCUUUGAACAGAAGAGUUUUAUCAGUUUUAAAUGUUUCUUCAUUUCUAUACCUUCUUUUAUCUGAGGAGCUUAAGCCAUUUUGUAGAGGCAUUAAGUAUUGCCUCAGUCUUAAUAUGUGAGACAAGGUGUGAGGAAUAUAGAGAUUCAUAAAAUAAUCCCCAUCUUCAAGGAACUCACAGUCAGGAAGAACAGAGCCUGCAACACAAAUAAUUGCAAUAUAGUAGAAGUGCCAAUAGGAGCUCUAUGAAGGGCGUGAAACAGGAAAGGCUACAUAGAGGAGAUGGCAGACACUCUGUGGAUUGUGACCUGUUGGUGGGCCAUGAAAUCAAUUUGGGGGUUUGAGAGCAUCAUUCUUUUAAUAAAACAGAAGAGAAUCAUCUGCAAUAAGGAACCCAUGGAUGAAUACCAUCUGGUCCUGGUGAUUUACUGCACAGAGUCCCUCAAGUUGCUCCAUACCUUUCUCCUGAGAGACUGAAGAAUCUCUGUCAAGGCCGUUCUCUGCUUUGCCAUAAAAUGUGUCCUUGGAACAAGAAUUUCCCCAUUGUCUUCUUCAAUAAAUACUGAUUCAAA
This 1308-nucleotide long non-coding RNA is filed under the name Homo sapiens (human). RNAcentral's name for it is "long intergenic non-protein coding RNA 466". Lineage: Eukaryota; Metazoa; Chordata; Mammalia; Primates; Hominidae. The record is from RNAcentral.